This 253-nucleotide ribosomal RNA is filed under the name uncultured bacterium. RNAcentral describes it as "partial 16S ribosomal RNA". It matches the Rfam family "Bacterial small subunit ribosomal RNA", at positions 524 to 776 of the family's 1533-position model. The record is from RNAcentral.
UACAGAGGUCUCAAGCGUUGUUCGGAUUCAUUGGGCGUAAAGGGUGCGUAGGCGGCGCGGUAAGUCGGAUGUGAAAUCUCGGAGCUUAACUUCGAAACUGCAUUCGAUACUGCCGUGCUUGAGGACUGGAGAGGAGACUGGAAUUUACGGUGUAGCGGUGAAAUGCGUAGAUAUCUGAAGGAACAUCAGUGGCGAAAGCGACUUCCUGGACCAAUACUGACGCUCAUGUGCGAAAGCGUGGGGAGCAAACAGG